This 525-nucleotide long non-coding RNA is filed under the name Cricetulus griseus (Chinese hamster). Its description in RNAcentral is "lncRNA (ENSCGRG00015037341.1)". The record is from RNAcentral. Lineage: Eukaryota; Metazoa; Chordata; Mammalia; Rodentia; Cricetidae.
CUGUAUUGCUUCGUAGGGUGGUUCCAAUUUAAGAGUGAGGGCAGAGGGCUGGUUUUAGCAGGCUUCCUAGAGCUGGCAUGCAAUGUUUCAUCCCCUAGACCGUGGGGGCGCAGACGCCAAGGAACCUUAACCUUCUCAAGAAGCUUUGGAUUAGGCCAGUGGUUCUCAUAUGACCCAGUCCUACCACCUACUAUCCCAACAUUCCCGCUGAUGAUAAGGACACCGGUGGCAAGCGUCCUGUCUUCUGGGGCUCACAUGACAACUCCACAGAGAAGACAGGAGGAGGAAGAUAGUGAUUUCCUGCUUGUCCCUGCUUAUAUUCUGAGUCUGCCUGCCGUGUCACUUCCUGCCUGGAUCACAAGACUUUUCUUUACUACAUUUCCCAGCAUCCUCGAUUCCUAGUCAUGCCUAACUUGCUUCCCUAUUGGCCAACAGUGCUUUAUUUCUCAACCAAUAAGACAUACAUAUACACAGAAGGUCUUCCCCCAUCAUCUCUUUUCUGUCUAAAUAAAAAAGAGGGUUUUA